Molecule: small RNA, 130 nt
Filed under: uncultured Blautia sp.
Lineage: Bacteria; Bacillati; Bacillota; Clostridia; Lachnospirales; Lachnospiraceae
Description: Clostridiales-1 RNA
Rfam family: Clostridiales-1 RNA
Source: RNAcentral
UAUGACUGUUGUGCUUGCACAUAAAGGCAUAUUGACAUAAGACGGGCUAGCCUACAUGAGCAAGUAGACCGAUAGGUCGGAUUGCGAAUGUGGGCGGCGAUUAUGGAGUGACGUAGGCACGGAAUAAUCG